UCCCUGCCCAUAUUUACACAAUAAAUCACUUGAACCAAUCGAUUAUGGUGGAAGCCAAUCAAAGAGACCAAUCGAUUGUACCUGGGUCCAAUCGAUUGUUAGUUGUGAAAUUCAGUUUUUUCUUCAUAAUUAAGCCUAACCAAUCGAUUAUUUGACAGAUGCCCAGGACCAACUGAUUGGUCCAUGUAUUUGUCUCCUAAAAUCACACUUCUAACUUCCUUUCUUCCCAAAUCCUCCAUGUUCAUUCAUUUCUAACAGAAACCACACAAGGUACACAAGCAAACAUAUAACAUAGCUUCAUUAAUCAACACAUACACAUCAUGGUAGCAAAAACAACAUUCAACAAUAUGAAGAACCACAACGACCAUGAAAAUCAUAAGCGAAUCAUUCAUUCAUGACAAAUUUCAUGAUUAAGAUAGAACAUAUAACAUGCUAUCAUGAAUCAAUAUCAGCUAUUCUAUGUUAUCAAGACAAAACCCUAGUUUCUAUUUCAUGAAAAGUUC
Molecule: long non-coding RNA, 503 nt
Filed under: Lathyrus oleraceus (garden pea)
Lineage: Eukaryota; Viridiplantae; Streptophyta; Magnoliopsida; Fabales; Fabaceae
Description: Pisum sativum (pea) long non-coding RNA (PSAT_LNC042005)
Source: RNAcentral